This 490-nucleotide ribosomal RNA is filed under the name uncultured bacterium. Its description in RNAcentral is "bacterial SSU rRNA". It matches the Rfam family "Bacterial small subunit ribosomal RNA", at positions 28 to 507 of the family's 1533-position model. The record is from RNAcentral.
GAUGAACGCUAGCGGCAGGCUUAACACAUGCAAGUCGAGGGGCAGCAUAAACAUUGCUUGCAAUGUUUGAUGGCGACCGGCGCACGGGUGCGUAACGCGUAUGCAACCUACCCAUAACAGGGGGAUAACACUGAGAAAUUGGUACUAAUACCCCGUAAUAUUAUGAAAGGCAUCUUUUAUAGUUGAAAGUUCCGGCGGUUAUGGAUGGGCAUGCGUUGUAUUAGCUAGUUGGUGAGGUAACGGCUCACCAAGGCGACGAUACAUAGGGGGACUGAGAGGUUAACCCCCCACAUUGGUACUGAGACACGGACCAAAACUCCUACGGGAGGCAGCAGUGAGGAAUAUUGGUCAAUGGACGAAAGUCUGAACCAGCCAAGUCGCGUGAAGGAUGAAGGUUCUAUGGAUUGUAAACUUCUUUGUCUGAGGGUAAAAAAGCGGACGUGUCCGUUCUUGCAAGUAUCAGACGAAUAAGCAUCGGCUAAACUCCGUG